AAUAUACAGGAACGCACAAAGAAACAGAAUACGGUUACAGUUUUGUGCUUUUGAUAUUCACAGAUUCAAUCAAAUCCAAUUCCAACAAGAGUGAUCUCUGUCUAAUCCGAUAAAUCAUUGCGUGUAACCCGCAAAUAGGUUUAUCUGAUAGUUCACAUACCAUUCAGAGAUUAAUCCAGGUUUUAUCAUAACUUUUGCAAUUUCAAUUCGGGUUCCAGGUUUGUUAUCUAUUUGAAAUUACUUGUUCUAGACCAAUUAUACAACAAAGAUAAACCUAUUAUAGGGUUCAAUUUGGUCUUUGGUUGUGAUUUCAAGUUUGAAAAAUAUUCUACAGUGAAUAUUUUUAUGUUUUGUAGUUUGUGAAUUAACCCUUAUUCACACGUUCUAGUGGUUAAUUUGGGUUUGUUUAUCUUGUUUUCACAAGUUUUAAUUCUAGAACUCUAGUUUCCUAAGUUUUGAAAUUGUGGGUUCUUAGAAUUAAUUGUCGAAAUAUAUUGUGAUUUGGUUACAAUUGUUUGUUUAAAUCACAAGGAAUUGAAUUUUAAAUUCAUGGUGGACGCUGAACCUGUUUGAAAUUAGGAGUUAGAAUUUUGGGAUAGAGUCUAUUGCUUUACAGGCCUUGAAAUUGAAUUUUGGUUGCAAAAAUAUUGGGAUUUCAUUUAUUUGGAAUUCACGAGUUCACGGCUGUACAUAGAAUUUAAAAAAAAAAAGGUUUGAAUUUGGGAUAUGUGAAUUCAUGGAUUAAAUUAUUUAUUGGGAUUCACUAACCGAACAGUAUUGUUGGUUUUGAUCUUGAGUUAAAUUCAAAAGUUGAUUCUUCAUCUUUUUAUCACUAUUAAUUUCAAAACCGAUUAUUGAUUCACAUUGCGACUGCGUAAUAGGUUCUUGACAUGUCUAGUAAAUUUACUAUAUUAGAAAAGUUUAUGGGAAAUAAAAGAAAGCUUGAUCGGGACACUAAUAAUUCCAACAAGAAACCAAAAGGGAGUUGUUGGAGAUGUGGAAAACCUGGGCAUUUUAGGAAAAAUUGUCGCGUAAAGCUUGCGGUUGGAAACGAGGCCAACAUAGCGGGUCCAAGUGUGUCAAAAGAUCCAAAUGCUCCACACGAUGAUAUGCUUGCAUGGUGGGUUGACUCGGGUGCUACGAGUCACGUUUGCAAGGAUCUCAAAUGGUUUGAGGAAUUCAAACCAAUUGAAGAUGGAUCUGUACUAAGGAUGGGAAAUGUUGCAACCGAGCCCAUCAAAGGAGUUGGAAAAGUUAGACUUGUAUUCACGUCUGGAAAACACUUGUUGUUAGAUAAUGUGUUGUAUGUACCGGGGAUUCGAAAGAAUCUCUUAUCCGGAAUUGUACUAAACAAUUGUGGUUAUAAACAGGUCAUUGAGUCAGAUAAGUUUAUCUUGUCUCGACAUGGAACCUUUGUUGGAUU
This 1423-nucleotide long non-coding RNA is filed under the name Helianthus annuus (common sunflower). RNAcentral describes it as "hypothetical non coding rna". The record is from RNAcentral. Lineage: Eukaryota; Viridiplantae; Streptophyta; Magnoliopsida; Asterales; Asteraceae.